AUUUCUCUAGUAUCAACGAGUACGGUUAACUUCCAAUUAAUCAGUUCUGGUAGCGACCCAGAGAGAAAUA
Molecule: transfer RNA, 70 nt
Filed under: Lontra longicaudis (neotropical river otter)
Lineage: Eukaryota; Metazoa; Chordata; Mammalia; Carnivora; Mustelidae
Description: tRNA-Gly
Source: RNAcentral